RNAcentral lists this ribosomal RNA (497 nucleotides) under uncultured bacterium. RNAcentral describes it as "partial 16S ribosomal RNA". It matches the Rfam family "Bacterial small subunit ribosomal RNA", at positions 28 to 507 of the family's 1533-position model. The record is from RNAcentral.
GAUGAACGCUGGCGGCGUGCCUAAUACAUGCAAGUCGAGCGAACGGACGAGGAGCUUGCUCCUUUGACGUUAGCGGCGGACGGGUGAGUAACACGUGGAUAACCUACCUAUAAGACUGGGAUAACUUCGGGAAACCGGAGCUAAUACCGGAUAAUAUAUUGAACCGCAUGGUUCAAUAGUGAAAGACGGUUUUGCUGUCACUUAUAGAUGGAUCCGCGCCGCAUUAGCUAGUUGGUAAGGUAACGGCUUACCAAGGCAACGAUGCGUAGCCGACCUGAGAGGGGGAGGGGCCACACGGGAGAGGGAAACCGGGAAGGACGCAGACGUGAGGCAGCAGAGGGGGAUGGUCGGAAAUGGGCGAAAGCCUGAAGGAGCAACGGAGCGUGAGUGAUGAAGGGCUUCGGAUAGUAAAAAUCUGUUAUUAGGGAAGAAAAAAUGUGUAAGUAACUAUGCACGUCGUGACGGUACCUAAGCAGAAAGGCAAGGAUAAAUACGUG